Molecule: ribosomal RNA, 1327 nt
Filed under: Escherichia coli
Lineage: Bacteria; Pseudomonadati; Pseudomonadota; Gammaproteobacteria; Enterobacterales; Enterobacteriaceae
Description: partial 23S ribosomal RNA
Rfam family: Bacterial large subunit ribosomal RNA
Source: RNAcentral
GGGACACGUGGUAUCCUGUCUGAAUAUGGGGGGACCAUCCUCCAAGGCUAAAUACUCCUGACUGACCGAUAGUGAACCAGUACCGUGAGGGAAAGGCGAAAAGAACCCCGGCGAGGGGAGUGAAAAAGAACCUGAAACCGUGUACGUACAAGCAGUGGGAGCACAGAGCAAUCUGUGUGACUGCGUACCUUUUGUAUAAUGGGUCAGCGACUUAUAUUCUGUAGCAAGGUUAACCGAAUAGGGGAGCCGAAGGGAAACCGAGUCUUAACUGGGCGUUAAGUUGCAGGGUAUAGACCCGAAACCCGGUGAUCUAGCCAUGGGCAGGUUGAAGGUUGGGUAACACUAACUGGAGGACCGAACCGACUAAUGUUGAAAAAUUAGCGGAUGACUUGUGGCUGGGGGUGAAAGGCCAAUCAAACCGGGAGAUAGCUGGUUCUCCCCGAAAGCUAUUUAGGUAGCGCCUCGUGAAUUCAUCUCCGGGGGUAGAGCACUGUUUCGGCAAGGGGGUCAUCCCGACUUACCAACCCGAUGCAAACUGCGAAUACCGGAGAAUGUUAUCACGGGAGACACACGGCGGGUGCUAACGUCCGUCGUGAAGAGGGAAACAACCCAGACCGCCAGCUAAGGUCCCAAAGUCAUGGUUAAGUGGGAAACGAUGUGGGAAGGCCCAGACAGCCAGGAUGUUGGCUUAGAAGCAGCCAUCAUUUAAAGAAAGCGUAAUAGCUCACUGGUCGAGUCGGCCUGCGCGGAAGAUGUAACGGGGCUAAACCAUGCACCGAAGCUGCGGCAGCGACGCUUAUGCGUUGUUGGGUAGGGGAGCGUUCUGUAAGCCUGUGAAGGUGUACUGUGAGGUAUGCUGGAGGUAUCAGAAGUGCGAAUGCUGACAUAAGUAACGAUAAAGCGGGUGAAAAGCCCGCUCGCCGGAAGACCAAGGGUUCCUGUCCAACGUUAAUCGGGGCAGGGUGAGUCGACCCCUAAGGCGAGGCCGAAAGGCGUAGUCGAUGGGAAACAGGUUAAUAUUCCUGUACUUGGUGUUACUGCGAAGGGGGGACGGAGAAGGCUAUGUUGGCCGGGCGACGGUUGUCCCGGUUUAAGCGUGUAGGCUGGUUUUCCAGGCAAAUCCGGAAAAUCAAGGCUGAGGCGUGAUGACGAGGCACUACGGUGCUGAAGCAACAAAUGCCCUGCUUCCAGGAAAAGCCUCUAAGCAUCAGGUAACAUCAAAUCGUACCCCAAACCGACACAGGUGGUCAGGUAGAGAAUACCAAGGCGCUUGAGAGAACUCGGGUGAAGGAACUAGGCAAAAUGGUGCCGUAACUUCGGGAGAAGG